AGUGAACGCUGGCGGUAGGCCUAACACAUGCAAGUCGAACGGCAGCACAGAGGAGCUUGCUCCUUGGGUGGCGAGUGGCGGACGGGUGAGGAAUACAUCGGAAUCUACUCUGUCGUGGGGGAUAACGUAGGGAAACUUACGCUAAUACCGCAUACGACCUACGGGUGAAAGCAGGGGAUCUUCGGACCUUGCGCGAUUGAAUGAGCCGAUGUCGGAUUAGCUAGUUGGCGGGGUAAAGGCCCACCAAGGCGACGAUCCGUAGCUGGUCUGAGAGGAUGAUCAGCACCACUGGAACUGAGACACGGUCCAGACUCCUACGGGAGGCAGCAGUGGGGAAUAUUGGACAAUGGGCGCAAGCCUGAUCCAGCCAUACCGCGUGGGUGAAGAAGGCCUUCGGGUUGUAAAGCCCUUUUGUUGGGAAAGAAAUCCAUCUGGUUAAUACCCGGGUGGGAUGACGGUACCCAAAGAAUAAGCACCGGCUAACUUCGUGCCAGCCGCCGCGGUAA
This 506-nucleotide ribosomal RNA is filed under the name uncultured bacterium. RNAcentral describes it as "partial 16S ribosomal RNA". It matches the Rfam family "Bacterial small subunit ribosomal RNA", at positions 29 to 523 of the family's 1533-position model. The record is from RNAcentral.